This 497-nucleotide ribosomal RNA is filed under the name uncultured bacterium. RNAcentral describes it as "partial 16S ribosomal RNA". It matches the Rfam family "Bacterial small subunit ribosomal RNA", at positions 28 to 507 of the family's 1533-position model. The record is from RNAcentral.
GAUGAACGCUGGCGGCGUGCCUAAUACAUGCAAGUCGAGCGAACAGAUGAGGAGCUUGCUCCUCUGACGUUAGCGGCGGACGGGUGAGUAACACGUGGAUAACCUACCUAUAAGACUGGGAUAACUACGGGAAACCGGAGCUAAUACCGGAUAAUAUAUUGAACCGCAUGGUUCAAUAGUGAAAGUCGGUUUUGCUGUCACUUAUAGAUGGAUCCGCGCCGCAUUAGCUAGUUGGUAAGGUAACGGCUUACCAAGGCAACGAUGCGUAGCCGACCUGAGAGGGUGAUCGGCCACACUGGAACUGAGACACGGUCCAGACUCCUACGGGAGGCAGCAGUAGGGAAUCUUCCGCAAUGGGCGAAAGCCUGACGGAGCAACGCCGCGUGAGUGAUGAAGGUCUUCGGAUCGUAAAACUCUGUUAUUAGGGAAGAACAAAUGUGUAAGUAACUAUGCACGUCUUGACGGUACCUAAUCAGAAAGCCACGGCUAACUACGUG